This 376-nucleotide ribosomal RNA is filed under the name uncultured bacterium. RNAcentral describes it as "bacterial SSU rRNA". It matches the Rfam family "Bacterial small subunit ribosomal RNA", at positions 524 to 898 of the family's 1533-position model. The record is from RNAcentral.
UACGUAGGGGGCAAGCGUUGUCCGGAUUCAUUGGGCGUAAAGAGCGUGUAGGCGGCCAGGUAGGUCCGUUGUGAAAACUCGAGGCUCAACCUCGAGACGUCGAUGGAAACCAUCUGGCUAGAGUCCGGAAGAGGAGAGUGGAAUUCCUGGUGUAGCGGUGAAAUGCGCAGAUAUCAGGAAGAACACCUAUGGCGAAGGCAGCUCUCUGGGACGGUACUGACGCUGAGACGCGAAAGCGUGGGGAGCGAACAGGAUUAGAUACCCUGGUAGUCCACGCCGUAAACGAUGGGAACUAGGUGUGGGCGGUGUCGACUCCGUCCGUGCCGAAGCUAACGCAUUAAGUUCCCCGCCUGGGGAGUACGGCCGCAAGGCUAAA